AUGUCAACUAUGGGUGGCUCCAACAAUUCUCAUUGGUCUCAAACCAAUGAAGCGCAUGAAGAUGGUCAUGAGUUUGAGGUGGACGAGGAUGGUGAGGGUAUCAUCAAUGCACCGAAAGGAAGAGUGGGCAACUACACCAUGGAAGAAGACAUGCUAUGCAAUACAUGGUUGCAUGUGUCUAUGGAUGCCAACGUUGGAGGGGACCAAAGUAGAGAUACAUAUUGGGUCCGGAUGAAGGAGCACUUUGAGUGGAAUUGA
This 258-nucleotide ribosomal RNA is filed under the name Triticum aestivum (bread wheat). RNAcentral describes it as "partial small subunit ribosomal RNA". Lineage: Eukaryota; Viridiplantae; Streptophyta; Magnoliopsida; Poales; Poaceae. The record is from RNAcentral.